Molecule: long non-coding RNA, 1732 nt
Filed under: Pan troglodytes (chimpanzee)
Lineage: Eukaryota; Metazoa; Chordata; Mammalia; Primates; Hominidae
Description: long non-coding RNA NONPTRT018505
Source: RNAcentral
AAAUACAAUAAACAAUGAGAUGCAGAUAACAAGAGAUACAUCUAAAACCAUUAAUAGCAACAGGUUAUAAGUAGAAAUAUGGACAAAGGAAUAUCAGGAAAUGCUAAUAAAAAGCAAGCUAUAUGGUAUUGUUAAUAUCAGAUAAAAAUCAAGGUAAACUACAUUAAAUAGGGGUAAGGAUGGUUUCGAUUAACCUUCCAACGCAUCACUAUAAGUUUGUUUCUGACUCUCCUUAUCUCAUCUAUUUCAUCCACUUCUCUAAACAUAUCUUCAUUGCUUAAAUGCCUGUUGUGUAUAUCUUCUUUAAACUCCUGGAGAGAUUGAAUCAGCCUUUCUCUAAAAGUUCCUUUUGCUUUGGCCUCCUCCUCUAGCUUCUCCUCCUCUUCUGGCUUUUCCUCAGGCUUUGGCUCUUCCUCAUGCUUUGGUUCACUCUCAUUUUCUGGUUUUCCUUCCAUUUUUUGACAGGAUUUCAUCUUGUAUCUGUCUACCUCUCUUCCUUCCUUCUUUUCUUUCUUGCUUAUUCUUCUUUGAAUACAAUGACUUAUAGAAAGCAAAAAGAAGACAGUAAGUUAAAGACUUGGUGAGUGGACAGGUGCUGUGGACAGAGGCCUUAGCAUUUAAUUUUUUUUAUUCAGAGCUGUUAUAAAAUAUCUUCCACCUGAGAAGCCCAGUCAGCAAUCAGAGCUUCACUAUCCCCACUCCUUUUACCUCCACUUUCCACCUCCUCACUUCUCUCUUGUCCUUCCCUCUAACCUUUUCCAAGGCCCUCCUUUCCGCCGUCCAGCCCUCCCCAGACCUUUUUCCCCCAUAGGGCCUAACACAGGGACCAGGCCAGAAAAGAGAAAGGUGGCUGGCAGGCAGAGGAAGAGGGGAAAGGAGAAGGGGGAGAGAAAAGAAGAGGGGAAAGGGGUGGGGUGGAAGGGAGCCGGCAGGAACGGUGGCGCUUACAACCUUUGUCUCCACCCCAGGAGACUUUAUAAUAUUCCUCUCACCUACCUGGCACUGAUCGGGUCAGUUUCUUCCUCCUCCUUUUCUAGCUUUGGGUCUUGCUGGAAACAACAGACCUGCAGAUAAACUGGAAACGGGAGGGGACGGUGGGGGUGGGGCGAGCGCUUGGUGGGCCGACCAGCGCCAGAGACUGACACACGUAGCUUUCCUCCUUUAGGGUUUCGGAUAUGGAAAGUUUCCCACCUUUUGUUUCCCCUAGUUCACCCCCUCUCCACAGUGCAUGCAAGUCAGUUCGUUUUUUCCAUCAGACAAAGAGUGAGAAAGCAGAUUAUUUCCAAACUAUCUUUAAGACUGAGGCGGGGUUCGGGAGGAGGGUGGGGGUCCGGAAAGCAGUCUUAGAUAGCAGAGGAUGAUUAUUUUUAAACUAUCACAGGUCUCCCUGUUCUUCUUCUAGGACCCCUAGUCCCUUUCCCAAGGGUCAUCAGUUCCUGUAGACCUGGAGGUGGAGGGUGGAGGGACGGACCUGACCGGCACUCCCACAAGUCUCUGCCUUAAACCCCCCCACACUAGAAAUCCCCAGUCAACACCUACAGUGACACCAACCUGCAAAAUUCCCGCAAGUUUGACUCCUUCCACGGGCCUCAGGGACCACCGCCUGCGCUGCUGAAGGAAGCUGGUAUCCAGACGGGAACAAGGACCAGAUUACCAGGACUUCUGCACACGUCGACUCCUGGUCACAUGAGAUCUACGUCACCAAGUCCUCAUGGUGGUGUUACCAGGAAGC